Molecule: long non-coding RNA, 949 nt
Organism: Glycine soja
Lineage: Eukaryota; Viridiplantae; Streptophyta; Magnoliopsida; Fabales; Fabaceae
Exons: 5
Source: RefSeq, a predicted model, not a curated record
AGCAUUUAGCAAACCAGAAAACAAGGGACCUGACAAAUGACAACUUUUGACUUCAGGUGGCACUAUACCGUUUUCCACAAAUUCAACAAAUUCAGAAAAGGUUCCUCACCUAACUCCUUCCAAAGUAUGACAUAGGCAAUCAAUUGGUGGGACAGUUGGAGUUUUCAAUUCACCAUAAGUCUGCCAGCAGAAAGGAUUGUAUAGAUGGUAUUGUUCUUGAAUUGGUUUUAACUCAACAGAGGUUAGAGAAACAUCUACACAAGGUUCUUUUGUCGCAGUAGAAUUGAUCAAUCACAAUUGGGAGUUCAACUUCAGAAACUUGUAUGUUUGAGAAUAGCACUCCUUGUACAGAACCUGAUCCACCCUGCAGAUAUACAUGUUAACUUUAAUGUUGGAGACACAGGCUCUGGUGUUAUCCUUUCCUAGACUUCCAAUGCUGAUUCCAUGCCCUGGUCCACAGUUGACAUUGUGUACAUAUAUGUUCGAGCAUCCAGUUUGUAUCGAAAUACAGUCAUCUCCUGCAAAAUAAUUGAAAUUUAAAUAUAUUGAGCCAACUUGGACCAUUUAUGUCAGUUGUGCCAUUUUCAUCCAGCCUAAGGUGCGAAGGACUCGAGAAAUGUGGGGCAGAAGUUAUAACUUCUAAUGAGACAAGAUUGAUGGCGAGAAAUACAAAAUCAAAAGCUCUUGUUUAUGGAACUAACAGAGUACUAUUCAAUUGGGUGAUGCAGUGUGGAUUUUACGGUUGACACGUGCCAUGUAGCAUAUGACUUGCAGGCAUUGGAAGGUACUUUUGUUGAUAUGUGUCCAACAUGGUUGUGGAUAAGAUAAGAUAAUGCCAUGCCAUUUUGAGAAUCAUAGAAAAUGCAUAGAACUUUGUUUUUUAGUUUUCUUCUUGUCUUGAACUUUCAUUUUCAUUUUAGCUAAUGUCUCUAUCUCCUACAUUGCCCUA